AAAUCAUGCCAUGAAUAUAUUACAAAUCCUGAGUGGUUGGAUAGUGUGCAGAAAAAUGGAGAAUUAUUUUAUUUAGAAUUUAGUGAAAGUGAAGAAGAAAUUCUGCUUCAGAACAGCUGUCCAGAAAUGCCAGCAGUGAAUCAUGUCAGGUUUCGUGAAAAUGAAGCUGAAAUUAUUCAGGAGGGAUCACGAAAGGAAAGGAAGUAUGAACUGAAGAAAUGGACCAAAAUGCUAAAAAAGAAGAGUCUUUUACCAAAGGGUUCUGGUAAGAAAGGCAGUGGAACCUGCAAUGUUCUCCCCUCAGGUCCUACUUCCAUAUUGAAACACCGGUCUCCUCAGAAAAUGGGUGUCCCUGUUCAGCAAAAGUACAAAGAUGUGUCUGUUUAUGUAAAUCCCAGAAAACUCUACAGCGCUGAGGAAGAAGAGCAGCAGAGGCUGCUGGAGGCCUUGGUAGGGAUUGUCCAUCAGUCUUCAUGGAGCAGCAAAAGAGUGGAAAAACAAGGCAGGAGGGAUAAAGCCACCAGAGGAGUCAGUGAAGAGAAGCUUGUGGUACAUGGCUUGGUGCCAGGUAGUUCUGCAAUGAAAACAGGUCAAAUCCUGAUUGGAGAUGUUCUUGUUGCUGUAAAUGAUGUCGAUGUGAAUUCUGAAAACAUAGAGAGGGUUUUGUCUUGCAUUCCAGGUCCUAUGCAGGUUAAACUGACAUUUGAAACCUCGGUAUUUGAGCCUGAAGGAACUUCUGAGCAAAGGAACAAACAGACACAGUCAAGUAUGAACAACCUGGUUCGGCUCCUGUGGGGAGGGGACAGUGUGGACCUUCAGCAGGCUGCGCAGGACGUGCCUCACAUUGUCAUGUUCCUCACGCUGAAACUGGACUCUGAGACAUCCAAGGAUGAGCAAGAAAUUAUUUAUCAGUACCCCAUAUCUGAAGCAUCCCAAAAACUGAAAAGUGUGAGAGGGAUAUUUCUCACACUGUCUGACAUACUGGAAAGUGUUACUGGUACCGAGAUUAUCAGUUCCUCCCUUUUCUUAUGUGAAAAACUGGUUCAAGUUGUUUACUGGAAAGAAUCCGACAAGUUGCUUGUAAUUGGCCUUCCUGAAGAAAAUGUCCCACUUUCUCAUCUGAGGAACAUGAUUCAAGAUGUUGUCAGGACCUUGACAUUCAUGUACAGUUCUUUGGAUAGUGCUUUUUGCCAGGUGGAAAAUGUUUCUCGCCUGGAUCACUUUUUCAACCUGUUCUUCCAGCGUGCCCUUCAUCCUGCGAGGCUGCAGCAGCAGGAUUCCUGCAGUGCCCUGUUCCUGGACAGCCUCCCAGGCCUGCGCUGGCUGACACUGCCUCAGGAAAUCAAGAUGGAAAUUGACACAGCACUGAGUGAUCUGGAAGCAGCUGACUUUGCAGAGCUGUCUGAAGACUAUUACGACAUGAGAAGAUUAUAUGUGAUCCUGGGCUCUUGUCUCUUUUACAAGGGUUACUUGAUUGGCAAUCACUUGCCAAAGGAAGACCUUCUUGAUGUGGGUCUCUACUGCCGGCACUACUGCCUGUUACCCCUGGCAGCAGAGCAGAGGAUUGGGCAGUUGGUGAUUUGGAGGGAGGUGUUCCCACAGCACCACCUCCAGCCCUGUGAGGAGGCAAGUCUGACAGGAUACAGGGAACCUGAAGCAAGAUACUUCCUACUGAUAGUUGGCUUGAGACACUUCGUCCUGUGUGUCCUGCUGGAGGCAGGGGGCUGUGCAUCCAGAGCUGUUGGGAAUCCAGGACCAGACUGUAUCUAUGUAGACCAGGUCAAAGCAACCAUACUGCAGCUGGAGGGAAUAGACGCCAGCAUAGAGGAAAGGCUGGACUCUCCCUCCAUCCCACCUGUAGCCUGUGCUGACUGGUUCCUUCCUGCAGCACGGGACAGACUGGAGGGCUUGAGCAAGCUGCAGAACUCCUGCAAAGCUGUGAGCAGUGCAGGGAGCAAGAGGAGCCUCUUUGGGGACAGCUGCCACAGCACACGGACGCAGAGCCCCCCGAGGAGCAGCGGGGCAGCCGAGCAGGGCGGCCAAGGGCCCGCCCAGGAGGAGAGCUCCAACCCACAGCCUGUGGGGGAGCAGGUCAGGCAACACGGGCACAGAGAACUGAUGAGGUUUGGGGGACUGGGGAGAGGGCAAAAAAAACACAUCCUGCCAAACCCAUUUCAUUCAGGAAACCUUAAAAAGAACCCUUCAGAGAAAGAUACAGAACUUCUUAAUGCUAUCAAGUUGACAUCUGGUCCUGAGAAUACCCUCUUCCACUAUCUGUCUUUGGAGACAAUGCAAGGAAUUUUUAUUACUCCAACUCACAAAGAAGUAGCACAGCUUGGUGGCUCCAUCCACCCUCAGUUAAUUGAGAAUUUCUACCAGUGCUGCCUUUCAAUUCGUUCCAUUUUCCAGCAGUCCAUGAGGAAAGAGAAAAAGAAAAAGGCAGGGAGUGGGAUUUCAGAAUUUAGUAAGGCAGCUGAGGACCCAGGUCUGGUAAGAGAACAUGGACUUCUGUUUGAGUGCUCUCCUGAAAACUGGACUGACCAGAAGAAACCACCACCAACAAUGAACUACUGGGUUGUGGGGAGACUCAUUCUCCAUCCCAAACCUCAGGAGUGUUACGUGUGUUUCCAUGACUCAGUGACAGAAGCUGCUGUGGAACUGGCUUUUAAACUGUCCUUUGGCUUAGCUGCAUAG
Ficedula albicollis (Collared flycatcher) is the source of this 2694-nucleotide long non-coding RNA. Lineage: Eukaryota; Metazoa; Chordata; Aves; Passeriformes; Muscicapidae. The record is from Ensembl.